UACGGAGGGUGCAAGCGUUGCUCGGAAUUAUUGGGCGUAAAGGGCAGGUAGGUGGUCUCAUUUGUCUGGGGUGAAAGCCUUGAGCUUAACUCAAGAAGUGCCCCAGAAACGGUGAGACUAGAGUACUGGAGAGGGUCGUGGAAUUCCCGGUGUAGCGGUGAAAUGCGUAGAGAUCGGGAGGAACACCAGAGGCGAAAGCGGCUCACUGGACCAUAACUGACGCUGAGGCGCGAAAGCUAGGGGAGCAAACAGGG
This 254-nucleotide ribosomal RNA is filed under the name uncultured bacterium. RNAcentral's name for it is "partial 16S ribosomal RNA". It matches the Rfam family "Bacterial small subunit ribosomal RNA", at positions 524 to 777 of the family's 1533-position model. The record is from RNAcentral.